Molecule: long non-coding RNA, 935 nt
Filed under: Brassica napus (rape)
Lineage: Eukaryota; Viridiplantae; Streptophyta; Magnoliopsida; Brassicales; Brassicaceae
Description: long non-coding RNA (BNAP_LNC012862)
Source: RNAcentral
UAUUUUGAAAUUCAAACCCUAAACGCUAAAAUUCAACUCUAAACCCUAAACCAUCAAUUUUAAACACGAACCCUAAACCCUAAACCAUCAGUCCUAAACCCUAUUUUCUUUUGAAAUACGAACCCUAAACCCUGAAACAUCAACUCCAAACUCUAAACCCUGAAACAUCAAAUCUAAACCCUAAACCCUAAACCCUAAACCUUCAACUCUAAACAAUAAAACAUCAACUCUAAACCCUAAAUCCUAAACUUCAACUCUAAACCCUAAACCCUAAACCAUCAACACUAAACCCUAAACUAUCAACACUAAACCCUAAACCCUAAAAAGUAAACUCUAAACCCUAAAACAUCAACCCUAAACCCUAAUACAUCAACUCUAAACUCUAAAUCCUAAAACCCUAAAUCCUAAACCCUAAAUCCUAAACCCUAAACCCUAAAACCCUAAAACCCUAGAGUUGGUGUUUUAGGGUUUAGAUUUGAAGGUUUAGGGGUUUAGGGUUUACAUUUAUUGUUUAGAGUUGAUGUUUUAGGGCUUAGAUUUGAAGGUUUAGGGUUUGAAUUUCAGAAAAAUAUAGGGUUUAGGGUUUACGUUUAGGGUUUACGUUUAGGGUUUAGAGUUGAUGUUUUAGGGUUUAGAUUUGAAGGUUUAGGGUUUAGAGUUGAUGUAUCGCGGUUUAGGGUUUAGAGUUGAUGUUUCAUGGUUUAGGGUUUAGAGUUCAUGAUUUAGGGUUUAAAGUUGAUGUUUUAAGUUUAGAUUUAGGGUUUAGGGUUUAGAGUUAUGUUUUUGGGUUUAGAUUUGAAGGUUCAUUGUUUAGGGUUUAGAGUUGAUGUUUCGGGGUUUAGGGUUUAGAGUUGAUGUUUCAUGGUUUAGGGUUUAGAGUUGAUGAUUUAGAGUUUAGAGUUGAUGUUUUAAGUUUAGAUUAGUUAAUCACAUUU